CAAGACAACCUCGCACCAUCAUUACGGACGAGAUGCGAGCAACAGUCAUUGACCAUGUCAUUGUCCAUGGCAUGACAAUGGCUGAAGCAGGACUAAGAGUCCGUCCAAACCUGAGUAGGUUCACCGUGGCCACCAUUAUCAGGGCAUUCAGACAACACAACAGAGUUGAAAGAAUGCCACAGAGGUGGGAGGAUUGCUAUAUUUACAGCGGCACAAGAAACCCUCAUUGUGGAUAUGGUUCGUGAGAACAACCUCAUCAGACUCCAGGAGAUCAGAGACAAAGUCAUUGCCGAUAAUGUGAACUUUGAGGGCAUUGAUGAUGUCAGCUUGGCCACAAUAGACUGAGUUCUCCGGCGCCAAAAGAUGCGGAUGAAACAAGUCUAUAGGGUUCCCUUUGAGCGAAACUCUGCACGACACAAAGACCUACGUUACGAGUAUGUGCAAAGGAUAUUACAGUUGGACGCGAUGGCCAGACCUCAUGAGUACCUCUUCCUGGAUGAGGCUGGCUUCAACCUGCAGAAAC
Molecule: long non-coding RNA, 523 nt
Organism: Micropterus dolomieu (smallmouth bass)
Lineage: Eukaryota; Metazoa; Chordata; Actinopteri; Centrarchiformes; Centrarchidae
Exons: 3
Source: RefSeq, a predicted model, not a curated record